CCUACGGGUGGCAGCAGUGAGGAAUAUUGGUCAAUGGACGAGAGUCUGAACCAGCCAAGUAGCGUGAAGGAUGACUGCCCUAUGGGUUGUAAACUUCUUUUAUAUGGGAAUAAAAUGUUCCACGUGUGGGAUUUUGUAUGUACCAUAUGAAUAAGGAUCGGCUAACUCCGUGCCAGCAGCCGCGGUAAUACGGAGGAUCCGAGCGUUAUCCGGAUUUAUUGGGUUCAAAGGGAGCGUAGGUGGAUUGUUAAGUCAGUUGUGAAAGUUUGCGGAUCAACCGUAAAAUUGCAGUUGAAACUGGCAGUCUUGAGUACAGUAGAGGUGGGCUGAAUUCGUGGUGUAGCGGUGAAAUGCUUAGAUAUCACGAAGAACUCCGAUUGCGAAGGCAGUUCACUGGACUGCAACUGACACUGAGGCUCGAAAGUGUGGGUAUCAAACAGGAUUAGAUACCCGAGUAGUC
Molecule: ribosomal RNA, 460 nt
Filed under: uncultured bacterium
Lineage: Bacteria
Description: partial 16S ribosomal RNA
Rfam family: Bacterial small subunit ribosomal RNA
Source: RNAcentral